This 405-nucleotide unclassified non-coding RNA is filed under the name Polistes fuscatus (common paper wasp). RNAcentral's name for it is "protein CWC15 homolog B, transcript variant X2". Lineage: Eukaryota; Metazoa; Arthropoda; Insecta; Hymenoptera; Vespidae. The record is from RNAcentral.
CGAGUCGAAUGUCGAUAUUAGUCUUAACAGAAAUCGAAAGAGCGCCCUCUAGGCGUAUGUUAGAAAAAAUAAUGUUUAUGUCGUUUAAUGUUUGGCAUUUUCUCUUGUGUUCGCUUUUACUCUGUCCACUUGAUUGUGAAAAACGAUUAUUUUUGUAAAUACUAUAUUUUGUGUGUAUAUUAAAUCAGUUUUAAGAUACAAGAUGACAACAGCUGCAAGGCCAACAUUUGAUCCGGCUAGAGGUGGUCAGGGUCGGGGUGAAAAAGAUUUAAGUGCGAUAUCAAAACAAUACAGCAGCAGAGAUUUGCCAUCGCAUACCAAAUUAAAAUAUAGAGAGCAUGGACAAGGAACGAUCGAAGAGCUUCGUAGUCGCGAUUUUCGCAAAGAAUUGGAGGAACGUGAUAG